This 67-nucleotide transfer RNA is filed under the name Escherichia coli 2-177-06_S4_C3. RNAcentral describes it as "partial tRNA-Met". It matches the Rfam family "tRNA". Rfam says of the family: Transfer RNA (tRNA) molecules are approximately 80 nucleotides in length. The record is from RNAcentral. RNAcentral also lists the same sequence under 1 other name. Lineage: Bacteria; Pseudomonadati; Pseudomonadota; Gammaproteobacteria; Enterobacterales; Enterobacteriaceae.
GGCUACGUAGCUCAGUUGGUUAGAGCACAUCACUCAUAAUGAUGGGGUCACAGGUUCGAAUCCCGUC